UUGACUUGUCCCCUGGUUCCUUUCCCUUUUUCUGAUUUCUAUAACUCUCUAUCUUUCUUCUCUUCUCUUCCCGUAACCUCAUCUUUCUCUCCCCCUUCUUCUUCUCUCUUUCUUUCUCUCAUGUGACUUUCGGACCUCUCUUUCCCUUUGUGAUCUAUCCCUUUUUCUCAAGCUUGUCACUCACAUAAGCAACAACCCCAAACCAACACCACUGGAUGUAGGAACAUCGGGAAAACUCAAGCAAACCUUCAUAGAACCCCAACAGUGACGGUGUCACUGUUCAUCAUCUUAUCCGACAUGUUUCGUGUUUAUCCAACGUUGAAAAUAACUCGGAGUAGCUUCACUAAAUUUUCCGGCAAGCACCGCCCCUUUCAAGGCAAUUUUCGGCCAAACAACAUCGAGUUGGCCAGUGUGCAAGGACUUAGAAUCGAGGCGUACAAUCCCGGUGUCAAGACACUUCCGUAUUGGCAUAUUCGAGUCCUCUCGAUGUAGAAUCCAUCGUUUGUUUCAUUCAAUUUUAUAUUAUUUCUUUUAGUGUUAUAGUUAGUUGUAUGCUCUGAACACGUUCCUAAAAUGCAUAUUUAUUAUAUUUUCUA
Pyrus x bretschneideri (Chinese white pear) is the source of this 596-nucleotide long non-coding RNA. RefSeq lists it as uncharacterized. Lineage: Eukaryota; Viridiplantae; Streptophyta; Magnoliopsida; Rosales; Rosaceae. The record is from RefSeq and is a predicted model, not a curated record. The transcript has 3 exons.